Molecule: long non-coding RNA, 643 nt
Organism: Sphaeramia orbicularis (orbiculate cardinalfish)
Lineage: Eukaryota; Metazoa; Chordata; Actinopteri; Kurtiformes; Apogonidae
Exons: 2
Source: RefSeq, a predicted model, not a curated record
CCUGAACUAGACUGUCUUUGAUUCUGUGCAUAAAGAAACCAGGCACUUGGAUGAACUGGAGCAGUGUUAGAUGGACCCCCCCCCCACCUGAACCAGUCAGGUGCUUCUUUGUCUUUGCCACUUUGUACAAAUGGUGUCGUGUAGUCUGCCCCCCCCCCCCCCCCCCCUCCUGGUCAUGGUCGUCCGUCCUCCUUUAAUGACGCUUCAGUGUUGGUUUGUGGGCUCCACGGGGGCCCCUGGUGUUCCUGGUGUGUGGGAGUGCAUGGGUGGUAGAACGCAGACAGGAGCCGUUAACCCUUUCAGAGCUCCUGGACGUGAGAUGUUGACCGGCGUUGGAGUGACGGAGCUAUGGACACGUCCACGUAUGUGAACCUGGAUGUUAGAUGUUGACCGGCAUUGGAGUGACGGAGCUACGAACACGUCCACGUAUGUGAACCUGUGGAAACCGCUCUGAGUUUGUACAUUUGACUGAAAACAGAACACAUGGAGAAAAAAAAAACAAUGCUAAAAACAUAAGACUGUUCCUUUAGUUUGAAGGUGUAUCUGGAGUGUUUGCGCAUGGUCAGCCGCACAUUUGAAUGUAAUUUUCAGGCUAACUGCUGUUUGUGAAGUUGACAUGUCGAAUAAAAAGAAAGUAAACCCA